GUACUCGCUUUGGCAGUACAUGUACUAAAAUUGGAACAAUACAGAGAAGAUUAGCAGGGCCCCUGUACAAGGAUGACACACAGAUUCAUGAUGUGUUCUUUAUUUUU
This is a small nuclear RNA of Dipodomys ordii (Ord's kangaroo rat), 107 nucleotides long. The record is from Ensembl. NCBI's taxonomy places the organism in Eukaryota, Metazoa, Chordata, Mammalia, Rodentia, Heteromyidae.